AUGGCAGAGGUGGACAAGAUGAACAAUUGGUUCGAGAGGAGGUGGUUGUCGCAACGGAUUAACAAGAUUGCGGUGGCUCAAGAAGAGCAAAUACAUCUCUUCUGUUUAUUUUCAUAUUUUGCAUUUCAUUUUCUGUUGAAAAAUUCACUUAGUAAUUAUUCUUGCUUUGAGCAUAAUUUGCAUAGUGUUAUGUCUACGUGCAAUGUAGCAUCAUCUUUCCUUGCAAUCGGAGAAAAACACGAAGAUUUAAAAAAAAUUCAAGAUAGAAAAGGAGUAAAGCCUUGCAAAUCAACACAAUAA
RNAcentral lists this ribosomal RNA (300 nucleotides) under Triticum aestivum (bread wheat). Its description in RNAcentral is "partial small subunit ribosomal RNA". The record is from RNAcentral. Lineage: Eukaryota; Viridiplantae; Streptophyta; Magnoliopsida; Poales; Poaceae.